RNAcentral lists this ribosomal RNA (462 nucleotides) under Acanthamoeba sp. Its description in RNAcentral is "SSU rRNA". It matches the Rfam family "Eukaryotic small subunit ribosomal RNA", at positions 740 to 1096 of the family's 1831-position model. The record is from RNAcentral. RNAcentral also lists the same sequence under 1 other name. Lineage: Eukaryota; Discosea; Longamoebia; Acanthamoebidae.
GGCCCAGAUCGUUUACCGUGAAAAAAUUAGAGUGUUCAAAGCAGGCAGAUCCAAUUUUCUGCCACCGAAUACAUUAGCAUGGGAUAAUGGAAUAGGACCCUGUCCUCCUAUUUUCAGUUGGUUUUGGCAGCGCGAGGACUAGGGUAAUGAUUAAUAGGGAUAGUUGGGGGCAUUAAUAUUUAAUUGUCAGAGGUGAAAUUCUUGGAUUUAUGAAAGAUUAACUUCUGCGAAAGCAUCUGCCAAGGAUGUUUUCAUUAAUCAAGAACGAAAGUUAGGGGAUCGAAGACGAUCAGAUACCGUCGUAGUCUUAACCAUAAACGAUGCCGACCAGCGAUUAGGAGACGUUGAAUACAAAACACCACCAUCGGUUGCGGUCGUCCUUGGCGUCUCGGUUUCGGCCGGGGCGCGGGGAUGGCUUAGCCCGGUGGCACCGGUGAAUGACUCCCUAGCAGCUUGUGAGAA